Molecule: unclassified non-coding RNA, 336 nt
Filed under: Hevea brasiliensis (rubber tree)
Lineage: Eukaryota; Viridiplantae; Streptophyta; Magnoliopsida; Malpighiales; Euphorbiaceae
Source: RNAcentral
UGAGUUCUGUUGUACAGAAAAAGAUUUUAAUAACUGACAUUGAUAAUACUGUCAAAAUAUGUAAUAUGUCAGAAAGGCAUUCCUCUACUGUACAAAGAUAACUUUGACAAAUUUAUUGCAUCGUCACCUGAGAUGGCUUGUAAAAGAAGCACAAUAACGUUACAUAUUCAAAUAGCCUUCCAGUUCUGAUUUCUAUACAGAGAAAUAACCUUUAAACAGAGCAGCAGAUGGAUCAGUAUACAGUGGCUUUUAAAUAGGCAAAAACAAACAUUUUUUUAGCACAAGCCCACCUCACUUGUCUGCAUUGAUUCCAAAGAUCCGAACCUUGUGCAUAUU